RNAcentral lists this ribosomal RNA (497 nucleotides) under uncultured bacterium. RNAcentral describes it as "partial 16S ribosomal RNA". It matches the Rfam family "Bacterial small subunit ribosomal RNA", at positions 28 to 507 of the family's 1533-position model. The record is from RNAcentral.
GAUGAACGCUGGCGGCGUGCCUAAUACAUGCAAGUCGAGCGAACAGACGAGGAGCUUGCUCCUCUGACGUUAGCGGCGGACGGGUGAGUAACACGUGGAUAACCUACCUAUAAGACUGGGAUAACUUCGGGAAACCGGAGCUAAUACCGGAUAAUAUAUUGAACCGCAUGGUUCAAUAGUGAAAGACGGUUUUGCUGUCACUUAUAGAUGGAUCCGCGCCGCAUUAGCUAGUUGGUAAGGUAACGGCUUACCAAGGCAACGAUGCGUAGCCGACCUGAGAGGGUGAUCGGCCACACUGGAACUGGGACACGGUCCAGACUCCUACGGGAGGCAGCAGUAGGGAAUCUUCCGCAAUGGGCGAAAGCCUGACGGAGCAACGCCGCGUGAGUGAUGAAGGUCUUCGGAUCGUAAAACGCUGUUAUUAGGGAAGAACAAAUGUGUAAGUAACUAUGCACGUCUUGACGGUACCUAAUCAGAAAGCCACGGCUAACUACGUG